Long non-coding RNA from Nomascus leucogenys (northern white-cheeked gibbon), 309 nucleotides. RefSeq lists it as uncharacterized. The record is from RefSeq and is a predicted model, not a curated record. The transcript is spliced from 2 exons. Lineage: Eukaryota; Metazoa; Chordata; Mammalia; Primates; Hylobatidae.
GGGAGGUUUGCGUCAAUAAAGAGCGCCCGUCAAGAAAAGGGGCUCGCCUGUGGGUUUAAGGGAUGGAACUUGGAGCUCCUCCGUGCAGUCCCGGGUAGACAGCCCGGUUCCUGCACUAGUCGAUUGUGCAGUAGGAAAGGAGGCUGCAGGGGAUCUGCGCUGGGGUAGGACAGCUGCCUUUCGGGACCCAGUGCUUGCAUCUUGGGAGAUGUGGGUGCUGAUCUGGUUGUUUCUCGGUUUAUGACGCCAAAAAGGGCGGGAGGGGGCUGGUGAAGUGAAGCCUUUCGCUAAUAUAUUCCAUUAACAGAA